GUAACACGUAGUCAACCUGCCCUGGAGACCCGAACAACCCCGGGAAACUGGGAUUAAUGCGGGAUAGGUCAUCUCAUCUGGAAGGAGAGAUGGCUCAAAGGGGUGCGCGGGCUUCUUCCGUGUACUUGUUCCAGGAUGGGACUGCGACCGAUCAGGCUGUUGGCGAGGUAAUGGCUCACCAAACCAGUAACCGGUACGGGCCUUGAGAGAGGGGGCCCGGAGAUGGACACUGAGAGAAGGGUCCAGGUCCUACGGGGCGCAGCAGGCGCGAAACCUUCGCAAUGCGCGAAAGCGUGACGAGGUUAAUCCGAGUGGUCCCCGCUGAGGGGAUCUUUUGUCGGCUGUAAAAAGGCCGGUGAAUAAGGGGAGGGCAAGUCUGGUGUCAGCCGCCGCGGUAAUACCAGCUCCUCGAGUGGUCGGGGCGAUUAUUGGGCCUAAAGCAUCCGUAGCCGGUUCCGUAGGUCUUCUGUCAAAUCCAACGGCUCAACCGUUGGCCCGCAGAAGAUACCGCGGGACU
RNAcentral lists this ribosomal RNA (517 nucleotides) under uncultured archaeon. RNAcentral's name for it is "bacterial SSU rRNA". It matches the Rfam family "Archaeal small subunit ribosomal RNA", at positions 93 to 593 of the family's 1478-position model. The record is from RNAcentral.